GGCUAGAGGAUAGGGGUUAGGGCUAGGGGUUAGGGCUAGGGGAUAGGGGAUAGGGAUAUGGAUAGGGGGUAGGGAUAGGGGAUAGGAAUAGUAGACCUAGGACCCCCUGCCAUGAUCAGAGAUCAGAUACUAUGGUGCCAUUUGGAAGGCAGAGAGACAAAAGGCCUGUUGUAUGUGAUCAUAGCUUUAAGUUAUUUUAUUCAUGUUGUUUAUUCCUCAAACAUUCCAACUGCCAACUCAUCUCGUAUGAUAAUAUCAUUGUUGUUACAAAUGCUUGUUAUUAUUGUGUUUUUGUUAUUGUUGUUUUGUUAUUGUUUACCCUUUUUGUUCUAUGAUUUUCCUUGUCUUUACGGUUUUAAUCUUGAACAUGUUGAACAAUGAAGUAAUUUUCAUUUUAUUUGAUCAGCUGUGAAUUUGUACUGACUGUGUCGAUCUGGUCGAUUUGGUUGUGUGUGUGUGUGUGUGUGUGUGUGUGUGUGUGUGUGUGUGUGUGUGUGUGUGUGUGUGUGUGGUUUGGCUGUGAUGUAAUGCUGUAGUUAGUAAUAACAUAGUCAUAGGUUAGCUAGUUAGUUAGUGUGACACCUUGUCAGUCCCUCUCUCUCUCUCCUUUCUCUUCUUCUAUAAAUCACACGCCUCCAUCACCUGUUCGUCUGCGUCAUGUGUAAUCUCAGGGGGCGGGCGAGGAGGACUGAUCUAUCCUAACACCAAAAAAAAUACAAUUAUAAAAGCACAAAUAAAGAUUAGUCACAAUAUCACAGAAAAAAAACCUUCCUAUGACUGAAGCACUAGACAACACAGUCAAUAGGGGGGGGGUUCCACUGAAAGAACCUCGCUGUUGGAACAGUAGAAUGAGAACACCUUGUUCUAAGAGGAUCACAACGUUCUAUAGCUACCAUGUCCCUGUACUGAAUACCACCUUGCUACAUAGUCUAAAGAACAUGUUGAAUCCGAGAAUGUAACUUAUAUAAAUACUAUGACGUCUGUAAAACGAAGACAACAACAACAGAAUAUAUGAUAACCAGCCAGUCAAAACAUAGGAAACACAAAUACACAGCAGUUAGACACUAGUUAGUCAUCACACCUGUACACCUGCUUCUGAAAUGGCACCCUAUUCCCUAUAAAGUACACUAGCUUUGGCCAGUAUGGCACCCUAUUCCCUAUAAAGCACACUAGCUUUGACCAGUAUGGCACCCUAUUCC
RNAcentral lists this long non-coding RNA (1199 nucleotides) under Salmo salar (Atlantic salmon). RNAcentral describes it as "lncRNA (ENSSSAG00000089683.1, ENSSSAG00000107566.1)". Lineage: Eukaryota; Metazoa; Chordata; Actinopteri; Salmoniformes; Salmonidae. The record is from RNAcentral.